UGAGUAACCUGCCCUUCACUCUGGGAUAACUCCGGGGAACCGGGGCUAAUACUGGAUAUGACUCGAACAGGCAUCUGUUUCGGGUGGAAAGAUUUAUUGGUGGAGGAUGGACUCGCGGCCUAUCAGCUUGUUGGUGAGGUAAUGGCUCACCAAGGCGACGACGGGUAGCCGGCCUGAGAGGGUGAUCGGGCCACACUUGGGACUGAGACACGGCCAGACUCCGUACGGGAGCA
Molecule: ribosomal RNA, 233 nt
Filed under: uncultured bacterium
Lineage: Bacteria
Description: partial 16S ribosomal RNA
Rfam family: Bacterial small subunit ribosomal RNA
Source: RNAcentral